RNAcentral lists this ribosomal RNA (510 nucleotides) under Triticum aestivum (bread wheat). RNAcentral's name for it is "partial small subunit ribosomal RNA". Lineage: Eukaryota; Viridiplantae; Streptophyta; Magnoliopsida; Poales; Poaceae. The record is from RNAcentral.
AUGCGCUGUGUUAAAUCCCCUUCGUUUUCUAUAAAGCUCAAUGGGGGUUUAUCCCAUAGAUUUAACCCAUCCAGAGGACUGAGGCAGGGGGACCCCCUCUCCCCGUACCUCUUUCUUUUCUGCGUCGAGGGCUUCUCGGCUCUUCUAAAGAAGGCGCAGGAGGAGGCUGAUAUCAAAGGGGUGUCGUUCGGUUCAAACGGGCCAAUCGUUACUCAUUUACUGUUUGCCGACGACAGCGUGGUGUUCGUGGAAGACUCUAGGGAUAAUUUUCAAGCACUACGGACUAUCUUGCAGCAGUAUGAAGGUGCGUCCGGACAGAAAGUGAACUUCCACAAGUCAGCAAUUUUCUUCGGGAAAGGAACGGAUGAUACUACAAAAGAAGAGCUAAAGCAAGUACUGGGCAUCAAGGAGGAGGCAUUGAGUGAGCGGUACUUGGGGCUACCUACGGUGGUAGGGAGCUCGAAGGAUGGACCUAUCAAAUAUGUAAAGGAGAGAGCAAGAGGGAAAGUC